RNAcentral lists this ribosomal RNA (253 nucleotides) under uncultured bacterium. Its description in RNAcentral is "partial 16S ribosomal RNA". It matches the Rfam family "Bacterial small subunit ribosomal RNA", at positions 524 to 776 of the family's 1533-position model. The record is from RNAcentral.
UACGUAGGUGGCAAGCGUUGUCCGGAAUUAUUGGGCGUAAAGCGCGCGCAGGCGGUUCUUUAAGUCUGAUGUGAAAGCCCACGGCUCAACCGUGGAGGGUCAUUGGAAACUGGAGAACUCGAGUACAGAAGAGGAAAGCGGAAUUCCACGUGUAGCGGUGAAAUGCGUAGAGAUGUGGAGGAACACCAGUGGCGAAGGCGGCUUUCUGGUCUGUAACUGACGCUGAGGCGCGAAAGCGUGGGGAGCAAACAGG